AAACAUGCCAGAUUAGCAUAGUGUGCCAACAGUGUUACGUCGGUCUACGGUUUCCCUGCGCUUACCUCAGCGUAACUUCCGUUGCCUAGCAACCGUGUUAGCAUGAAGCACAGAGCUGUGAAGCCGAACGAAUGGAGCCUGAAGGUUAAUACCGCUGUCUCUACUUUAAAUAACUACACGGUUUUUAUUUACCCUUUAUUUGCCCUUCAGCUGUUCUCUCGGGGUCUCCCGGUCAGCUGACAGCUGGCAAGGCGAGCUGGCUGCGAGGGCAGCGGACAUCUCUGAACACGUCAGCGUACUUGUGCAAUUUGACAAUAUCUUGAUGAACCAAUCAGAUAUUUCAGCCUUUGCUACUUCCGUUUGAAUGAUCUACUUCGCAAUGAAUCAUGGGAUAUGGUGGGCCAUGGAGGAUACACCGGACCCAUCGUUCAAAUCUGGAGAAAAGAAGGACACGUUAGUUGGCCUCAUUUGAAGGAGCGUUCAAAGUUGGAUAGCCUUUGUCUGCUCACCAUGACGUAAUUGGCCUACAAAUGUGACCUUCAAAGGAUGCAACCCCUGAAUUUGGACACAGCAAUAGUGAAUAAUAUCCAUGAAUCAGUUAA
This is a long non-coding RNA of Girardinichthys multiradiatus, 602 nucleotides long. RefSeq lists it as uncharacterized. The transcript has 2 exons. The record is from RefSeq and is a predicted model, not a curated record. Lineage: Eukaryota; Metazoa; Chordata; Actinopteri; Cyprinodontiformes; Goodeidae.